RNAcentral lists this transfer RNA (76 nucleotides) under marine sediment metagenome. RNAcentral describes it as "tRNA-OTHER". It matches the Rfam family "tRNA". Rfam says of the family: Transfer RNA (tRNA) molecules are approximately 80 nucleotides in length. The record is from RNAcentral.
GACCCGGUAACUCAACUGGUAGAGUAGGUCCUUCUAACAGAUUUAGUUGUGGGUUCGAAUCCCACCUGGGUCACCA